GACGAACGCUGGCGGCGUGCUUAACACAUGCAAGUCGAACGGAAAGGCCCUGCUUUUGUGGGGUGCUCGAGUGGCGAACGGGUGAGUAACACGUGAGUAACCUGCCCUUGACUUUGGGAUAACUUCAGGAAACUGGGGCUAAUACCGGAUAGGAGCUCCUGCUGCAUGGUGGGGGGUGGAAAGUUUCGGCGGUUGGGGAUGGACUCGCGGCUUAUCAGCUUGUUGGUGGGGUAGUGGCUUACCAAGGCUUGGGCGGGUAGCCGGCCUGGGAGGGUGACCGGCCACAUUGGGACUGAGGUACGGCCCAGCCUCCUACGGGAGGCAGCAGUGGGGAAUAUUGCACAAUGGGCGGAAGCCUGAUGCAGCAGCGCCGCGUGCGGGAUGACGGCCUUCGGGUUAUAAACCGCUUUCGCCUGUGACGAAGCGUGAGUGACGGUAAUGGGUAAAGAAGCACCGGCUAACUACGUG
This 468-nucleotide ribosomal RNA is filed under the name uncultured bacterium. RNAcentral's name for it is "partial 16S ribosomal RNA". It matches the Rfam family "Bacterial small subunit ribosomal RNA", at positions 28 to 507 of the family's 1533-position model. The record is from RNAcentral.